UUUACGGGGCUGUGACUCAGAUUUACUUUUGUUCUCCAGUCUGUGGCAUCGGGUCGAUGCCCUUUGCCGUGAGCUGUAGCUUUUCCUCCCAGAACUUUGACUCGAUGUUCUUUGCCAGGCUAUCCUCAGAAGUUUAGGGUGUAACUGAGAGGGGCUCUCAAUAAGCCAGGGCAGGUGUAACCUGGGACAGAUGCUCUGGUGACUGUUUGCUGUUUGUGCUGAGCUGGGGCUCCGUCCUGGCUGCUGUGCCUCUGCUUCUGGGCCGGGCCUGUGUUCCGAGACCAGGCAUACCUUUCCACACCACUGUCACUUCCCCGGCUCUCUCGUCCCCUCCGUCUUCCCUUGGCUUCUGGGCUCAGUGUGGCUCCUGCUCAGUGAUGCGGCAUGAAGAGGCUUUACCCUCUUCAUCUUUUUUUUCUGAACUCAGGCUGGGUUUUCCCAUGGCUUGUAUUUUCCUUUUGCUGAUUCUUUUGAACCAUCCCUUGAGGGGCUCUUCCACAUUUUUGUGCCCUGGCUUUUCACCCUGCAUUGAGCUAUUUUUCCCAUUUUCUUGUGAAAGUCGGGAUUACCCAAAACAAUUUCCACAUCUUCCUCCUUCCUGGCUCACAGGGUGAGUGAUUUUCCGCUCAUCCCCUUCUGCAGGGAGAUGUCUGUCUUUGCUAAGCCAGAACCUUCCAUCAGGGGUUUGCUUGGCACAGCCCUGGGGCUCACGUCGGUGUCUUGCCACCCACAGUUUCUCCACGUUUAGCACACCACUGUUCAUAGACAGCCGGUGACGUUUACAAUACAAACACAAAAUUUUUGCCUGUGGGCAAAAGCUCCUCUUUUUGAGAAAUCUUGAAGUUCUGUAUCUGGAUAAUAUUUAACAUUUUAACAUAUGUCUGAAUUCCUUUCCUUGAUACUUUGUUUUUCAUUCUUAUCCAUGUAAGAUAUGCAGCGCAUUUCUGUGUGCCUCAGGGGAAGAAUGUGGCAGAAUAGAAAACAGAAUCUCUAGCCUAUGUUUCCGAAUGUUCGGUGAUGGAAGACAGAACAGGAUGUCAAGCCUAAACAGAACAUCCUCAUGAAACAAGAAGAUCUUCCUACGCCAGAGCACAGUGUUUCUCCGGGGCAGAGAGAUUUCAACAGCAGUGACCACAUCAACCCUAGCCCAACAGCUCCAUGACAGUCCUGGCCUGGGGAGCUCCAUCUUAGAAAUAUAAGCCUGACUCCCAGGAAACACGUUUUGCAAGGUGAUAAGGCCAUGUACCUGGGAAACCCAAGCAACCAUAUUUGAUAAAGCAAAUAACAACUUGAAUUUGAACAGGGAUUUUUGUCAUGUGGACAAGGAACUCGGAAACUAUAAAAUAAAAUAAUACAUGUUAAAAAACUUAAAUUUUGUAUGGCAAUAGAUAACAUCAUCGACCCUAGAUUGGGGAAAAUUACAGAUAGCUCGAGCUGGUAUUAAUGAUGAGAAACAUCUCUUCGUCAUUUGUAAGAACAAGCUCAGUGCUCAGAGAGUAACGGCAAAGACUGAACAGGAAACUCAAAAGAGCAAAUCCAAGUUGGCUAAGAAACUAGGAAAGAUAAUCAUAGUCCUUAGUAAUCACGGAAAUGCAAAUUACAGCAACAGGAGACACCGUUCUUACCAGGUGGGCAACAAAAAGGGAGAGAAAUACAGGAUUUUUUCCAAACAGACUUGGGGAAAGCGACUUGACAGACUCUCUUUGCAUGAAAAACGGACAGACCUCUCCACCCAGACAUUCUCCUCUUGAGAUUGUAUUUUGGGGAAAUAAAGGCGCGAGAAUGUGAGACCGUGCCUGUGAGGCUGUGGCCCUUCACGUAAGGAUGUAGGAGAGCCCGGAUUUCACAAGGACGACAACCUGUGAACAAACAUCGGCUAGGCCUCGCUCUAGUUGCUUGAGGCAGGAACAGCCCAAAUAACAGAAUAACGCGGCAGAAACAGACUACAAGUUCAUUCCUCUCGCUGGAUGGACACCCGGAGGAAGGCGUUCACAAGCGGAUCCGUGAAGGGAACAGGGACCCGCGUUCCUUCCUGCUCCCCGCUGCUGCUCACGGUCAGGCUCCUGCGGGAAACGCCACCGUUUUACCCACCAGGAGAGCGUUGGGGGCAGGAUCUGGGAAGGAGACACCCCCUUCUUUGCACCUUACGGUGACUUCUCAGGAGAAGGACACAGCCAGCAGAGCCUUUCUCCGUAUGUAUUCCCCCGUGGGACAGGUGCGUUUUGCUGGUGAUAACGUGCCCGCUCCAUGUCAGGUGAUUUGGGGAGGCACCUGCCAUCUCUGCAGCACAGACCAGAGCAGGGGACCGCCACCGACGGAAGUGAUGAGGUCUGUGACAGCUGGAGGGGCCACAGCAGCUUUAUGAAGUUUUCAGAAUCCAUGACCGACUUAUUUCUCUUAAAUUUAUCUUUCCUUGAUUCACAAGGAUGGUGAUUAACACAUAAGUGUGGUUUAAGAGAACCCUUAAAGCUAGAACAUGAAAUGAUCAAUAUUGUGUUUUUGUGCAUUUGUCAGAUUUUCCUUCCCUAAAGGGAGCCUAAAGUAUUGUCAUACUGACGGUCGAGGGCAUCCUAGUAUGAUGAAAUAUGAAAAUAAUUAAAAUUAACCUGGGAAAGGCUGAAGCAACACGAAGACAA
Molecule: long non-coding RNA, 2636 nt
Organism: Mustela lutreola (European mink)
Lineage: Eukaryota; Metazoa; Chordata; Mammalia; Carnivora; Mustelidae
Exons: 4
Source: RefSeq, a predicted model, not a curated record